UUGAGCAGCAAUUAAAUGAACAUUCUUUUCCACUUGGAGAAAUUCAGUAAAAUACGAGCAGAGAAUUAUUAAUAAUUGGGAUAAAAAUGAGCUUGUCUAGGGGAGUAUAUACAUUGGACAGACCUGCCAUAAAAAUUACUUUUGAGGCAAGGAUUUUCAACAAAUACGUUAAACAACAUUUAACCUGAAUUAUUACUUCCUUUGCGGUUUUCUUUGCUCUGACCUUGUAGGAAUGAUGUGCUGCCUUAAAUCUCCUGCAGCAGCAGACGCCCUUGGUACAGGACUGGUGCCAAUGCUCCAAGCCACAGCACGAGGCUGGUGAGAUUUCCCAGUGUCCAGAUAGAUAGUGGCUUGUGGCCUCUGCUAAGUGAGUAACCUUUGCAUCCAGCAGUCUUAGGAAGAAUCGUCUCCCAAAGUCUCUGUAUCUCAGCUGCCUUUCUGCUUCCUCAGGCCGAGAUUGUUUGUUCAAGAAUAUUCCUGAGAUAGUCACAGAAAUGUAAUGGGUAGAAAGUGGGCUGAAGCAGAAUCUGGAAAGCUGGACUUCAGGGUGAUUAUACUCCAUUGGCAAGAAGAACACGAACCAGUGUGAAAGUUCACGCAUCUGGAUGAAUGGAAAUCAAUGGAGUGGAUUUUUGAGCAUAUGCUGGUACUACCCAAAGGACGCUGAGGAAUGUUGUUGAGCACAUGUAAGAAUUAAACACUGAAAUUCUACUACAUCACAAUGCCAACAUGAUAAAAAGUCUGCAAUAAACACGCUCAUCAAAUUA
Non-coding RNA from Ictidomys tridecemlineatus (thirteen-lined ground squirrel), 767 nucleotides. The record is from RefSeq and is a predicted model, not a curated record. Lineage: Eukaryota; Metazoa; Chordata; Mammalia; Rodentia; Sciuridae.